This 253-nucleotide ribosomal RNA is filed under the name uncultured bacterium. RNAcentral describes it as "partial 16S ribosomal RNA". It matches the Rfam family "Bacterial small subunit ribosomal RNA", at positions 524 to 776 of the family's 1533-position model. The record is from RNAcentral.
UACGUAGGGGGCAAGCGUUGCCCGGGUUUACUGGGCGUAAAGCGCGCGUAGGUGGAAAGUUAAGUCCGGUCUGAAAGCCCCCGGCUCAACCGGGGAGGGUGGCUGGAAACUGGCGUUCUUGAGGGCGAGAGAGGAGGGUGGAAUUCCCGGUGUAGCGGUGAAAUGUGUAGAGAUCGGGAGGAACACCGGUGGCGAAGGCGGGUCUCUGGGCAUCUCCUGACGCUGAGGAGCGAAAGCGUGGGGAGCGAACAGG